GUUAAAAAGCUCGUAGUUGGAUUUCUGCGGGGGCGGGGCGGCCGGUUGCUUAUAGCAACUCGAGCUAGCACUUCCCCUGCAUCCUGCCGCGAACCGUGCUACCAUUAGUUUGGUGGCGCCGGGGAUCGGCUCGUUUACUUUGAGAAAAAUAGAGUGUUCAAAGCAGGCCACACGCCUUGAAUAAGUUAGCAUGGAAUAAUGAUAAAGGACUUCGGCUCUAUUUUGUUGGUGUUCGGGACUGAAGUAAUGAUUGAUAGGGACAGUUGGGGCGGUCCGUAUUCCAAAGCGAGAGGUGAAAUUCUUAGACCUUCGGAAGACGAACAGCUGCGAAAGCGUUCCGCAAGGAUGUUCCCUUUGAUCAAGAACGAAAGUUGGGGGAUCGAAGACGAUCAGAUACCGUCGUAGUCUCAACUAUAAACUAUACCAGCUAGGGAUCGGCCAACGUUUAAUUACACCGACUUGGUCGGCACCUUAUGAGAAAUCAAAGCAUCUGGGUUCCGGGGGGAGUAUGGUCGCAAGGCUGAAACUUAAAGGAAUUGACGGAAGGGCACCCCCAGCCGUGGAGCCUGCGGCUUAAUU
Molecule: ribosomal RNA, 579 nt
Filed under: uncultured marine eukaryote
Lineage: Eukaryota
Description: bacterial SSU rRNA
Rfam family: Eukaryotic small subunit ribosomal RNA
Source: RNAcentral